UGGGAAACUUACAAAGCUUAAAUGCGUGGCU
RNAcentral lists this non-coding RNA (31 nucleotides) under Mus musculus (house mouse). The record is from RNAcentral. Lineage: Eukaryota; Metazoa; Chordata; Mammalia; Rodentia; Muridae.